GUUAAGCGACUAAGCGUACACGGUGGAUGCCCUGGCAGUCAGAGGCGAUGAAGGACGUGCUAAUCUGCGAUAAGCGUCGGUAAGGUGAUAUGAACCGUUAUAACCGGCGAUUUCCGAAUGGGGAAACCCAGUGUGAUUCGUCACACUAUCAUUAACUGAAUCCAUAGGUUAAUGAGGCGAACCGGGGGAACUGAAACAUCUAAGUACCCCGAGGAAAAGAAAUCAACCGAGAUUCCCCCAGUAGCGGCGAGCGAACGGGGAGCAGCCCAGAGCCUGAAUCAGUGUGUGUGUUAGUGGAAGCGUCUGGAAAGGCGCGCGAUACAGGGUGACAGCCCCGUACA
RNAcentral lists this ribosomal RNA (341 nucleotides) under Escherichia coli. RNAcentral describes it as "partial 23S ribosomal RNA". It matches the Rfam family "Bacterial large subunit ribosomal RNA", at positions 1 to 379 of the family's 2925-position model. Lineage: Bacteria; Pseudomonadati; Pseudomonadota; Gammaproteobacteria; Enterobacterales; Enterobacteriaceae. The record is from RNAcentral.